RNAcentral lists this long non-coding RNA (449 nucleotides) under Scleropages formosus (Asian bonytongue). Its description in RNAcentral is "lncRNA (ENSSFOG00015028601.1)". The record is from RNAcentral. Lineage: Eukaryota; Metazoa; Chordata; Actinopteri; Osteoglossiformes; Osteoglossidae.
GCAGGGACUUGUAUGGUGGGGUGGUUCAAACUGGACCUUUGCUUUAUUGGGGAUCCAGUGGAGAGACCAGAGCAAUGGAGGGCUGUGUGUGUAGAGAAGAGACCGAGGAGGAGAACGAGACGGAGACGAACCCGAGCUCAAGCUCGAACCUGUUCCCAGAGACGAUGCCUGCGUCCCGGCCGACCCGACUCUCCCAGCCCCCCUGACCUGCUCAAAACCUCAUCCUGCCUGUUCCCUGGUCCCCCUUUUCCAUCCCCUUCCUUCCCACCCGUUGUAAGGGCAAAUAAAAGCCUUCAUCAACAGGCAACUGCACCUCUUGCCUCCUGCCUCAUCUCUUACACACACACAUACUGCACAAGGACCAACUUCUACAGGCCUACAGUGUCGCAAAUACAUGGGUACAAACUGUACGCCAAAAGGUUGCAACAUAUUGCAUCUAUGUAUGAUCA